UUUGAGAUCUUGAUGGACGAUGUCAUUUAGGUGGAGGUGCAUCAACCCUUCACACAUACCACUAACGAUAGUGGCUCUAAUUGAUGGAGUCAACUGAAAAAGGAGGAAGAUCUUUCCGAUCGAUGAGAUGUUGGGGGACUUUCUUCACUGCAGCCCAGGUAUCGUUGUAUUUUUGCCGGUAGACUUUCCCAAAGCAGCCUUGAGCGAGCGUUGCUGUGGACCAGGCCAUGCUGGAGGAACAGGCAAGACUGGAGAGAAUCAAGCGGACAUUUGAUUCGGACAUUUGACUCUGGAGCUGCCACAACAUUCAGCUGCAUGAAGGAUGAUGGAGACCAGAAACAGAGUCUGUGUGACUCUAAUCUAAUAGCAUCAAUGGUCUUAAUCCAACAUAUUGAUUAGAUCUGAUUUAAUCACAGAAGCCAUCCAGACCCUCAUGGAAGAGCUUCACAUAUGUUGGCUUAGUAGUUGUUAUAAUUUUUACUAUUAGAUAUUCCUAACCAAAUGUUACCUUAGGUCAAAUAAAUAUCUACAUUCCAGAUAACUUUUUCUGUAGCCUUUUAUUGAUUUAAAAUGUUUCUAUUUAUUUAACUUUAUUGUCUAGAUGCAUUUACUGUAAUGUCAGCUGUUUGAGAAAGUUAUUUAUUUCAUUCAU
Long non-coding RNA from Gambusia affinis (western mosquitofish), 652 nucleotides. RefSeq lists it as uncharacterized. NCBI's taxonomy places the organism in Eukaryota, Metazoa, Chordata, Actinopteri, Cyprinodontiformes, Poeciliidae. The record is from RefSeq and is a predicted model, not a curated record. The transcript is spliced from 3 exons.